GGAUAACCUACCCUUAGGACUGGGAUAGCCCUGGGAAACUGGGGAUAAUACUGGAUAGGCAAUUAUUCCUGUAAUGGUUUUUUGUUUAAAUGUUUUUUCGCCUAAGGAUGGGUCUGCGGCCGAUUAGGUAGUUGGUUAGGUAAUGGCUUACCAAGCCUUUGAUCGGUACGGGUUGUGAGAGCAAGAGCCCGGAGAUGGAACCUGAGACAAGGUUCCAGGCCCUACGGGGUGCAGCAGGCGCGAAACCUCCGCAAUGUGAGAAAUCGCGACGGGGGGAUCCCAAGUGCCAUUCUUAACGGGAUGGCUUUUCAUUAGUGUAAAGAGCUUUUGGAAUAAGAGCUGGGCAAGACCGGUGCCAGCCGCCGCGGUAACACCGGCAGCUCUAGUGGUAGCAGUUUUUAUUGGGCCUAAAGCGUCCGUAGCCGGUUUAAUAAGUCUCUGGUGAAAUCCUGCAGCUUAACUGUGGGAAUUGCUGGAGAUACUAUUAGACUUGAGAUCGGGAGAGGUUAGAGGUACUCCCAGGGUAGAGGUGAAAUUCUGUAAUCCUGGGAGGACCGCCUGUUGCGAAGGCGUCUGACUGGAACGAUUCUGACGGUGAGGGACGAAAGCUAGGGGCGCGAACCGGAUUAGAUACCCGGGUAGUCCUAGCUGUAAACGAUGCGGACUUGGUGUUGGGGUGGCUUUGAGCUGUCCCAGUGCCGAAGGGAAGCUGUUAAGUCCGCCGCCUGGGAAGUACGGUCGCAAGACUGAAACUUAA
This 757-nucleotide ribosomal RNA is filed under the name uncultured archaeon. Its description in RNAcentral is "bacterial SSU rRNA". It matches the Rfam family "Archaeal small subunit ribosomal RNA", at positions 102 to 859 of the family's 1478-position model. The record is from RNAcentral.